RNAcentral lists this transfer RNA (72 nucleotides) under Antrostomus carolinensis (chuck-will's-widow). Its description in RNAcentral is "Caprimulgus carolinensis (chuck-will's-widow) tRNA". It matches the Rfam family "tRNA". Rfam says of the family: Transfer RNA (tRNA) molecules are approximately 80 nucleotides in length. Their secondary structure includes four short double-helical elements and three loops (D, anti-codon, and T loops). The record is from Rfam by way of RNAcentral. Lineage: Eukaryota; Metazoa; Chordata; Aves; Caprimulgiformes; Caprimulgidae.
GGGGAUGUAGCUCAGUAGCAGAGCAGCUGCUUCACAUGUGAGAGGUCCUGGGUUCAAUACACAGCAUCUCCA